This 254-nucleotide ribosomal RNA is filed under the name uncultured bacterium. RNAcentral's name for it is "partial 16S ribosomal RNA". It matches the Rfam family "Bacterial small subunit ribosomal RNA", at positions 524 to 776 of the family's 1533-position model. The record is from RNAcentral.
UACGUAGGGUGCGAGCGUUGUCCGGAAUUAUUGGGCGUAAAGAGCUCGUAGGCGGUCUGUCGCGUCGGAUGUGAAAACUCGGGGGCUCAACCCCGGGCCUGCAUUCGAUACGGGCAGACUAGAGUACGGCAGGGGAGACUGGAAUUCCUGGUGUAGCGGUGAAAUGCGCAGAUAUCAGGAGGAACACCGAUGGCGAAGGCAGGUCUCUGGGCUGUAACUACGCUGAGGAGCGAAAGCGUGGGGGAGCGAACAGG